Molecule: ribosomal RNA, 117 nt
Filed under: Fidelibacterota bacterium
Lineage: Bacteria; Pseudomonadati; Fidelibacterota
Source: RNAcentral
UCCGGUGAUUAUAGCGCAAGGGUUCCACCCGAUCCCAUUCCGAACUCGGAAGUUAAGACUUGUUGCGCCGAUGGUACUGCACGGGAGACUGUGUGGGAGAGUAGGAAGUCGCCGGUA